This is an RNA transcript of Oncorhynchus keta (chum salmon), 1424 nucleotides long. It is a transcript of the gene named V-type proton ATPase subunit e 1-like, with no coding region annotated. The transcript has 4 exons. The record is from RefSeq and is a predicted model, not a curated record. Lineage: Eukaryota; Metazoa; Chordata; Actinopteri; Salmoniformes; Salmonidae.
UUUUGGUACCGCUACACGCCCAGUUUACUGUGGCGACAUCAUGUGAUCCAUUCUUCCUAGUCCGGGGGCCUGGCAACAGUUCGCUAUUUCAGCGUUGAGUAGCGUUGCCAAGUGUAUACGUUUACUUUAUCUACUUUUAAAACUAUUUCCAAAGCCAGACAUGGCGGCGCUUAGUUUUGUAAUUCCCAUGUCGGUAAUGACUCUGUUUUGGGGGAUUAUUGGUGGAGUUGUGCCGUGGUUUAUCCCCAAAGGACCGAACAGAGGAGUGAUAGUUACCAUGUUGGUGCUAACUGCUGUCUGCUGCUACCUGUUCUGGCUGAUAGCGAUCCUGGCCCAGCUCAACCCUCUGUUUGGACCAGCUCUAAAGAAUGAUACCAUCUGGUACAUGUACUACCACUGGCCCUAGUCUACCAGUCUACCAGCCCUCGACCCCUCUCCUGCUACAGGUAAACCCACUGGCUCUAGUCUACCAGCCCUCGACCCCUCUCCUGCUACAGGGGAGGACCUGACUCACUGCUGUACACCAAUGAAGCCCUCACUCAAUCACCUCCUCACGAAGGGAACUGUUUUUGUAUAGCUUAAGCCUUAACCCAGCCUUUGACACCUGACCUUAGUGAGAGUGGAGAGAUGCCUGCAAAAAUGAUUUGUACAAACGGAUCCCCAAAAGGACUUUUCUAGAGAAAUCCUCUUUAGUGCUUUAAGAAUAAAGUAUCGACCUUUGAUUUGUAUGUUCUGUGUGAUGUGCUGUAUGACAUUUUGAUUCUCUAACAUUGAUAUAUGAUAUUGUCAAGUCAUGUUGCUAGUUAGCCUAGCCCGUUUAUAUAUGCUAACUACCUUUAGCGCCUAUUGACGACAGUAUCUUCUGGCCAGGGGAGUUUUGUUCCUCUGAACGUUAACACGCAUCGCUUGCGGUAUGGUUAAAUUACUACACACCUUUUAUAGGGUUCCCACACUGCCAUAUUCCCAUGUUAUAGUGUUUUGUUUAUGGAAAAAAGACAGGAAGAUUGAAUGGACUACAUGCUAAUUAGCUACCUGUGAUUGUGUAAAGGGAAGAAACACGCCACAAAUGUGUCACAGAAAAAUACUGUCAGAUGCAACCAUGUUAAAUCAGUGCAGUAAGUAUAUAUUUUGCAUUUGUGAAAUUAUUUUGAUGUGUUUUGAAAGGAGAGGACUUUUCUAGAACCGUACCAUAGUGGAGAAUCGAUUCAUGAUUAGAUGGAGUAUUUGGCUGUUUUGGCUGCCAGAGCCAAUUCCCCUCUAAACAGUAACAUUAGGCUCCUUUAGUUCAUUAUUGGAUUCUCCGUACCCCAUAUGUAUGUUGCAUGUAACGCAGGCUUUUUUUUAUUCCAUAUGUCCUUCAUUGUGUGUGUGAUGGCAUUCAUUAUUGUCCUUAGAAAUGUUAGAUAUUAAACGUCAUCAAUCCA